GGAAAGUGAGUAAACCCAGUUGUGGGCAAGGGUAUGGAGGAGUAGGAACUUUCAGGAAUUCCUAAUGCACAGAACUAUGGCUGCACUGAAUGAAUUAGGCAUGCUUGUGGCAUGUCAGUGCUCUAGAAUCUCUUGCAGUGUUUUGCUUCACAGGCUGAGGAAGUGACUACUUUGAAGGGGACAACAGUUGAUUGGCUAGCUAUCUGAGAAGAUAAACUUGAAAAGUCAUUGUACAAGAAAGAAUGUGUCUGUGACAACCCCAGGAAGAUCAAUCAGGACAUUCAUAUUCAUGAGACAUAAAGGCCUAUGGAGAAUCCAAAUAAAUUUUUCACUAUGCAUAAAAUUA
Long non-coding RNA from Chinchilla lanigera (long-tailed chinchilla), 346 nucleotides. RefSeq lists it as uncharacterized. The record is from RefSeq and is a predicted model, not a curated record. The transcript is spliced from 2 exons. NCBI's taxonomy places the organism in Eukaryota, Metazoa, Chordata, Mammalia, Rodentia, Chinchillidae.